UAUAUGUUAAUGUAAAAUGCAUAAAAAGUUUUGAUCUUUUAAGUUUUGGUGAAAGUCCUUUACGUAUAA
Molecule: transfer RNA, 69 nt
Filed under: Glyptolithodes cristatipes
Lineage: Eukaryota; Metazoa; Arthropoda; Malacostraca; Decapoda; Lithodidae
Description: tRNA-Gln
Source: RNAcentral